CCUACGGGCGGCAGCAGUGGGGAAUAUUGCACAAUGGGCGCAAGCCUGCUGCAGCCAUGCCGCGUGUGUGAAGAAGGCCUUCGGGUUGUAAAGCACUUUCAACGGGGAGGAAGGCGUUAAGGUUAAUAACCUUGGCGAUUGACGUUACCCGCAGAAGAAGCACCGGCUAACUCCGUGCCAGCAGCCGCGGUAAUACGGAGGGUGCAAGCGUUAAUCGGAAUUACUGGGCGUAAAGCGCACGCAGGCGGUCUGUCAAGUCGGAUGUGAAAUCCCCGGGCUCAACCUGGGAACUGCAUUCGAAACUGGCAGGCUAGAGUCUUGUAGAGGGGGGUAGAAUUCCAGGUGUAGCGGUGAAAUGCGUAGAGAUCUGGAGGAAUACCGGUGGCGAAGGCGGCCCCCUGGACAAAGACUGACGCUCAGGUGCGAAAGCGUGGGGAGCAAACGGGAUUAGAUGCCCGAGUAGUC
This 465-nucleotide ribosomal RNA is filed under the name uncultured Klebsiella sp. RNAcentral's name for it is "bacterial SSU rRNA". It matches the Rfam family "Bacterial small subunit ribosomal RNA", at positions 338 to 795 of the family's 1533-position model. The record is from RNAcentral. Lineage: Bacteria; Pseudomonadati; Pseudomonadota; Gammaproteobacteria; Enterobacterales; Enterobacteriaceae.